GAAUCAAGGUGAAUCCUACCUUUUGUGUCCACCAAGAUCAGAAGUUUCUUCUGUCCUUCAUCAGGUAGUUGUGGAAUUGGCUGGAAUUCUUUACUGGAGGAUGAUUUAUAGCUCUCCUCUUUCCUGAUAGGACAGGUGAUUCAACGUCACAGAUACAACAGUUCAACACAUUACAGUGGGAACCUCUAAUUGCUGUAUGAGAAAACAAGCAUUAUUAGCAUAAUCAUUAUAACCAUUACUAAUGAAAAGCUCUACGCAUGAGAUCAGUGAGCAAUGGAUCAUAAGAGAAAUUCUGCAGCUCCUCUCUGGUUUGUGUGUUUUCUCAUGCUGGGGAAAGACAACACACUUUUUAAGACAGACUGAGAAAAGGUAGAAUUCAGUCAGCUUCAGAGCAAGGGGAAGAGAAUACUAAACGUUAAAUUGUGGAAGAAAAAGCAAACUCUAUAAUUACAUGAAGGUUGAAUAUGUGGAGGUGAACUGGGCCUUCUUGGAGCUCAUCACAAACAAAAAUAAGAAGGAACAGAGAUGUAGCAAAGUGAGAAAGUUCAGUACUGUCAGGAGGAAAGUGAUUAUGAUCUCUCUGUCAAGAACCCCCAAGUAAAAAUUUCAGUGAUAAAGAUAUUUCUGGACGUAUUUGAUAAGAAUCAAUGGAUGUGCCCACUCAAGUAAUCUCAGAAAAGAGGAAGUAAUGUCAAUUACAGGAUGAGAGGAAGGAAAUAAGAGGAAAAGAGUUGGUUGUCACAUGCAAGAAGGUUGUGGCUCAUUCACAGAUGGAACUCAACUUGUGCACACAAACCCAGGAUUUCCUUUCACCUUUUCUUGAAAAAAAUGUCAUUAUGGGGAACUGCAUGAUGUAGAUCUGUAUGCUGAACAUGCAUCAGAAGGGUCUGAUCCUCUCUGGAUAGGUCCUCAGCAUUAAGUGUAGAGAGCUCUGAAUAAGCUUGGAUUAUUUGCAAGAAUCAUAGAAUCACAGAAUUGAUGUGAUAUAAGUUGGAAAAGACUUCUCAAAUCAACAACUAGCACUGCCAAGGCUACCACAGAACCACAUCUGCCACAUCUGCGCAUCUGUUAAACUCCUCUGGACCUGGUGACCCCACAGAUUCUCUAGACAGCCUGUGCCAAUGCUUGACCACCCUUCCUAUGAAGAAGUUUUUCUAAUAUCCAGUCCUAACCUCUCCUGGCACAAUUUGAAGCCAUGUGCUGUUGUCCUGUUGCUGGUUACUUGGGAGAAGAAACCGACCCCCUCAUGGCUGGAAAAGAAGGAACAAAUGUCUCCAUUCAUGGAGCCAUGUGCUCCCAGUGCCUGGGAAUGAGGGUAUCUUGGAUUGCACACCAGACUGCACUGCUCUGUGCCAUCACUGGCUGACACUCCUCUGUGCUAUUUGGGUGACAACUUGCAAGGUGGGGGUCUCCAAAUGCUCAGGGAAGUUGGAAGUGCAGGCGCAAGAGAGGAUUUUGUUGCUGAAACAUGGACGUCUGUUGCCAAUUUUGCUGUAGCAUAUUUGAGACAUAUGCACGGUACUAACAGGUAUUACACAGCACUUAUGGGAGACUCCCCUUCUGGAGUGUCAGAUGGAGGCAAGAAACAAUUUAACUUGGGCAGACGAAGACAGGUUGCUAUUGUGAAUCUGCUGCAAUGCUUCCAGGUAUUCAUAACAUUGCUUACAUUGCUAAGUGCUGUGAGGGGAAAGUAUCAAAGGUAAGGGAUUAUGCUCUGCUGAAGCUGAUGAAACAGUUCCUCCAGUUUGAAGAAUUGUGACAAAUGAAAACCUCUUAUACACAAACCCGAGUUAUCCAGGUUGUCUGUUAAUGAAACAGAUGUCAGUUUGCUUAAAUUCCAGGCUUCCUUUUUUUCCCUGCUCUUCAAGUCUUUGAAUUUGUGCCUGAGCAAAAGUUUGGAGAGUGCUCUUGUGCAACAUUUGUCUAUAUGGUACAAAAAUUCCUUAAUUUGACUCCACCAGAAUUAAAAAUAGGAUAUUUUAUAUAUAUUUAAAGACAUUUUUGCAGAAAUUGGAUCACAUUUCUUUGUUCUGGUUUUCAUCUGAUUCAUAAUUACUUCACUGAAAUGCAAAUAUACAGUAGUUCAGCAGAGGGUAGAAUUGAUCAGACCCAAAUUAAUCUUCUCACAUUAAAUGACCAAUUUAACAGGUUCUGUAGGCUCCCCAUGUAGUAGAUGAAGAGAGAUGGACAACUGCAAGAAGGCUCCACAUCACUUCUCUGCAGAUGUCUGAAAAGUAGGAUAAAAUAUUCUCUGCAAUAGAUUCUUUUUAUCCAGGGAAAAUGAAAAGGCUACACUAGAUCAUCUCCAGAAGUCUGCAGUUAGGCAAUAUACCUUGAAUUUUCUUUAGGUGUUCAGAAACCUGAAAAACAAGACAUUGCAGAUUCUCUGAGAAUUCAAUGGUGAUUAAAAGCUGGAAGCAGCUUUGUAAUAGGAGCAUCUUUCUUCAGCUCUCUCAAGUGGUGUCAAGGCAAAUAACAUUGAGAAAAAAAAAAGAUUAUGAGGGUCUAGCCAUUUCAGUAAGGAAUUAGAUUGGCAAGGAGGUUUGAAAGGGAUAUAUUUGUAGUUAAUAGGCAGAAAAACUUAAUAGCAAAGAAAGGCCAACUGGAAGAUUAUAAUAUAGCCAUAGUGUAACUAUAGAGGAAAGCAGACAUAGUUUUUAUAGAUUUUUAAUACAGAUAAUUUGCAUUGUACCACAGGAACUAAGCCCCUGUAUGCCAAUUGCAUAGCAUUCUUAAAACAAGUGGUUUUCUAUCAGUGAUGCCCUUACAGGAACCAGUACAGGGUUUUCAGACAUACAUGAGAUUUUACUUCACAAAGUUCUGUUCUGACAAGAUAAUUUGUCAGAACAAAAUAUCUGCACCUGCUCCACUGAAAUUGGCUCAUUUGACACUGCUUUUGUAGCAGUUUGACCCUACUUUUGUACCAGUGCUGUAAGCCUACAGGAGCCAUCACAUUUGGGCAGUGGGAAGUUAUUGCACUUCCAGACAUAUAAUUUACCACUUAACAGUUUUAUUCCUUAAAGAGAUAUAAACUCACAUAUCUUCUGCAUUUAAAAGGCCAUAACAGUACACCCCAUCUCUGUUGAUAUAUCAGGUAGUUCUUUAUGCACUGAAUAUGAGGAUAUUUGGUAAUACAAACACUUUUUUUAAAGCAAACAGGAAGACAAAUCCCCUGCCCUGGACCUGUAAUGGAUUCAUCAGCUCAACACUGCUAAAGCCACAUCAAACAUCCACAAAAAUUCCUAUCAACUCCUCACUUAUUGCUUAGUCCAUUGUUGCAAACGUGAGGACAGUUUCUGCUGGUGGUUCUUCUGGGACAAGGAGGGACUGAAUUUCCAACUGGCAAAGGAAAGCAGGUGGGAUAAUGAAAAUGGAUCUACGCUGAAGAGGCUUCAGUGUGAGUAGCCUUAAAGGUGGCCUGGUUAGAGAGGGAAAAUUACGGAGCAGAAGAAAAUGUCUGCUGGAAAAUACUGGCAGAGAUAUUCCCAGCCAGCCUGGCAGCUGUGAGCCUGGGAACUUUCAUACUACAAACAUCCCUGACAACUGCAUCUGGCCUCCUUAUGUACAGCUGGGGUUCCCAGAAGCCAGAGAUAUCCUGAGAAGCACAAGUUACAAGAAAUUGUAACAGCCGUAUAUCAGCUGAAAAACUGGAAACAGUUUGGGGACAUGAUCAUGGUCUGAAAGAACCAAAAUUAUCAUCAUCUAUUUGCUGGUUCAGGUGAAAAAUUUAAAUUAAAAACAUUCAUUGGCUCCUUGUAGUGGUGAUGUCCUGUGCUUUCUUAUGUCUCUAUGUUAUAAAAAGGAUUUAAUUUUUAUCUAA
This is a long non-coding RNA of Passer domesticus (house sparrow), 3820 nucleotides long. RefSeq lists it as uncharacterized. The record is from RefSeq and is a predicted model, not a curated record. NCBI's taxonomy places the organism in Eukaryota, Metazoa, Chordata, Aves, Passeriformes, Passeridae. The transcript has 5 exons.